GACGAACGCUGGCGGCGUGCUUAACACAUGCAAGUCGAACGGAAAGGCCCUGCUUUUGUGGGGCGCUCGAGAGGCGAACGGGUGAGUAACACGUGAGUAACAUGCACUUGUAUUUGGGAUAACUUCAGGAAAAUGGGGCUAAUAUCGGAUAGGAGCUCCUGCUGCAUGGUGGGGGUUGGAAAGUUUCGGCGGUUGGGGAUGGACUCGCGGCUUAUCAGCUUGUUGGGGGGGUAGUGGCUUACCAAGGCUAUGACGGGUAGCCGGCCUGAGAGGGUGACCGGCCACAUUGGGACUGAGAUACGGCCCAGACUCCUACGGGAGGCAGCAGUGGGGAAUAUUGCACAAUGGGCGGAAGCCUGAUGCAGCAACGCCGCGUGCGGGAUGACGGCCUUCGGGUUGUAAACCGCUUUCGCCUGUGACGAAGCGUGAGUGACGGUAAUGGGUAAAGAAGCACCGGCUAACUACGUG
RNAcentral lists this ribosomal RNA (468 nucleotides) under uncultured bacterium. RNAcentral describes it as "partial 16S ribosomal RNA". It matches the Rfam family "Bacterial small subunit ribosomal RNA", at positions 28 to 507 of the family's 1533-position model. The record is from RNAcentral.